CAAUCAAUUAAUUAAUGAAACAUCAAACUUAAUUCAUAAUGGCAACAAGAGUUUGUUGUUUACAAUGAUCUAAAUCAGAUUUCUUUUUGUACCAUUUUGACUUUGUGUAGUGUUUCUUUUAAGAAUUAAAUAAAUUUGUUAAGAGAAAAGAAAUCGUAUCCACCUGUUAUCGCGGAUAACAGAUCAUAAUAGCUUUGAAACAAUGAUAAUGAAAGUUUUUUCAUCGUUCUAAAUUUAUGCUACAGUUAUGGUCGUAAAAGAUUAAGAAAAAUCUUAUAGGUGCAAUUAUUCCACUGACACCUGCGAAAUUAC
This is a non-coding RNA of Hydra vulgaris (swiftwater hydra), 312 nucleotides long. Lineage: Eukaryota; Metazoa; Cnidaria; Hydrozoa; Anthoathecata; Hydridae. The record is from RefSeq and is a predicted model, not a curated record.